RNAcentral lists this ribosomal RNA (448 nucleotides) under uncultured Herbaspirillum sp. RNAcentral's name for it is "bacterial SSU rRNA". It matches the Rfam family "Bacterial small subunit ribosomal RNA", at positions 929 to 1382 of the family's 1533-position model. The record is from RNAcentral. Lineage: Bacteria; Pseudomonadati; Pseudomonadota; Betaproteobacteria; Burkholderiales; Oxalobacteraceae.
GCGGUGGAUGAUGUGGUUUAAUUCGUAUGCAACGCGAAAACCUUACCACCUUUGACAUGUACGGAAUCCUUUAGAGAUAGAGGAGUGCUCGAAAGAGAGCCGUAACACAGGUGCUGCAUGGCUGUCGUCAGCUCGUGUCGUGAGAUGUUGGGUUAAGUCCCGCAACGAGCGCAACCCUUAUCAUUAGUUGCUACGCAAGGGCACUCUAAUGAGACUGCCGGUGACAAACCGGAGGAAGGUGGGGAUGACGUCAAGUCCUCAUGGCCCUUAUGGGUAGGGCUUCACACGUCAUACAAUGGUCGGUACAGAGGGUUGCCAAGCCGCGAGGCGGAGCCAAUCCCACAAAGCCGAUCGUAGUCCGGAUUGUUCUCUGCAACUCGAGAGCAUGAAGUCGGAAUCGCUAGUAAUCGCAGGUCAGCAUGUCGCGGUGAAUACGUUCCCGGGUCUU